Molecule: long non-coding RNA, 1006 nt
Filed under: Panax ginseng (ginseng)
Lineage: Eukaryota; Viridiplantae; Streptophyta; Magnoliopsida; Apiales; Araliaceae
Description: long non-coding RNA (PGIN_LNC002676)
Source: RNAcentral
CUCUUCCAGGUGGCAAAGUUUGUACCAUCAAAUAGUGGAGGUCUAGUCAUUGAUAAUCCUUCUCCGCAACCAGUAGCAUUGUAGGCCAUAGAUGGAUUUACUCUUAGGUAUGCCUGUAUUUACUUAACAAACAAGUUAAAGAGCACCGCUUUGAUACCAAUUGAAAGUCCAAUAAUAAUCUAGAAGGGGGGUUGAAUAGAUUAUUACAGAUUAAAAAUUAUCUUAGGCCUUUUUGAUUUUUUUUAUAAUUAAUUUGUAGUGUUAGAAAUUAAUAUGCAAGACAGUAAAAAAUCAAUCACACAAUGCACAGAGAUUUGUCUGGUUCACAAUAUACAUCACGGGUAUGCUGCUACGUCUAGUCUCAAGCUCCUCUCCAGGACUUGAGAUCCUAUUACCAUCAGUAAUAAAUACUCCUUUAACAGGCGGAGAAGUCUUUACAAAGUUUUAUAUUCAAACUUCCAAAUGUUUCCAACUAAUCUAUCUUGGACAGCAAGCUCCCAGCUCCCUCCUCAAGCUUAGUUGUACUUCUUUUGAGUUCAGUUCGAUUUUAUGAUCUGGUCUUGAAACAACAGCCUCUUCCUCACCUCACAAGUACACUAGAGACUCAACUUUCUGCUGACCUCUCUAAGACUCUGGUUUUGGUCGAAGAAUUACUCGCCUUUCUCACAGGUAUAUAAAAUAAACUAACUGACCUUUUCUCUUUUUACAAAUGAUUUUACAACAAAUGUGCUUCUCAAAUAAGCAGAUAAGAAUUUAGUACAUAGGGAUGCUUCUUUAAAUAAGCAGAUAUAAUUUAGUACAAAUUGAUGCUUCUCAAAUAAGCAGAUAUUAAUUAAAGAGCAAAUGUAUUUAUAAAAGUUCAAAGACUUUUAUACUUGAGAAAAAAUACUUCUUUGUAAGCAGAUAGUAAUUUGUGCUUAGAUUAAAUAAUGCUUCUAUGUAAGCAAAUAUGUAAAUUAUGCACUUUUAUAAAAGUUUAAAUAACUUUUAUAUUUUGUGUGAAAAG